Molecule: ribosomal RNA, 285 nt
Filed under: Triticum aestivum (bread wheat)
Lineage: Eukaryota; Viridiplantae; Streptophyta; Magnoliopsida; Poales; Poaceae
Description: partial small subunit ribosomal RNA
Source: RNAcentral
CCCCUGGACUUCACCAAGCACUUCAUCGCGGUGCCGACAGAGUUCAAGCUGAGGAACAACACCGGGUGCUCCUGGAAGGUGACGAUGAAGCUGAUGAACGGCAGGGUGACCCUGGAUCAGGGUUGGGCCACCUACGUGGCCGUUCAUCAGAUCAAGAUCGGCUACAUGGUGAUGUUCAAGCUCCUCACUCCCGACACCCUUAAGUUCAUCAGCUUCGACGGCGAUGGCAUUGAGGUGGUCAACAAGUGCGGCAAGCACGACGAAGCCUUCGCCGCCAAGGACUAG